AUUAAUAAGCGGAGGAAAAGAAACUAACGAGGAUUCCCUCAGUAACGGCGAGUGAAGCGGGAAAAGCCCAGCACCGAAUCCCCUGCCGUAAUCGGUGGCGGGAACUGUGGUGUUUCGGACAGCCCAUGGGGAUCGGUCGGGAGUCUGAGUCCUCCUGAUCGGGGCUUCACCCAGAGCGGGUGUCAGGCCUCUACGGCGCCCGGCCGGUUCUCUCGGGUCGUCCCAGGAGUCGGGUUGUUUGAGAAUGCAGCCCAAAGCGGGUGGUAAACUCCAUCUAAGGCUAAAUACAGACACGAGUCCGAUAGCGCACAAGUACCGUGAGGGAAAGUUA
Molecule: ribosomal RNA, 331 nt
Filed under: Enchytronia parva
Lineage: Eukaryota; Metazoa; Annelida; Clitellata; Enchytraeida; Enchytraeidae
Description: eukaryotic LSU rRNA
Rfam family: Eukaryotic large subunit ribosomal RNA
Source: RNAcentral